CAGUGGGGGAAUCUUGGACAAUGGGGGCAACCCUGAUCCAGCCAUGCCGCGUGAGUGAUGAAGGCCCUAGGGUCGUAAAGCUCUUUGCCAGGGAUGAUAAUGACAGUACCUGGUAAAGAAACCCCCGGCUAACUCCGUGCCAGCAGCCGCGGUAAUACGGAGGGGGUUAGCGUUGUUCGGAAUUACUGGGCGUAAAGCGCGCGUAGGCGGAUUGGAAAGUUGGGGGUGAAAUCCCGGGGCUCAACCCCGGAACUGCCUCCAAAACUCCCAGUCUUGAGUUCGAGAGAGGUGAGUGGAAUUCCGAGUGUAGAGGUGAAAUUCGUAGAUAUUCGGAGGAACACCAGUGGCGAAGGCGGCUCACUGGCUCGAUACUGACGCUGAGGUGCGAAAGUGUGGGGAGCAAACAGGAUUAGAUACCCUGGUAG
This 425-nucleotide ribosomal RNA is filed under the name uncultured bacterium. Its description in RNAcentral is "bacterial SSU rRNA". It matches the Rfam family "Bacterial small subunit ribosomal RNA", at positions 352 to 793 of the family's 1533-position model. The record is from RNAcentral.